This 467-nucleotide ribosomal RNA is filed under the name uncultured bacterium. Its description in RNAcentral is "partial 16S ribosomal RNA". It matches the Rfam family "Bacterial small subunit ribosomal RNA", at positions 28 to 506 of the family's 1533-position model. The record is from RNAcentral.
GACGAACGCUGGCGGCGUGCUUAACACAUGCAAGUCGAACGGAAAGGCCCUUCUCUAGUGGCGUACUCGAGUGGCGCACGGAUGAGUAACCCGUGGGUAACCUGCCCUUGACUUUGGGAUACCUUCAGUAACCUGGGGCUAGUACCGCAUAGGAGCUCCUGCUCCAUGGUGGGGGUUCGAAAGUUUCGGCGGUUGGGGAGGGACUCUCGCCUUCUCAGCUUGUUGGUGGGGUAGUGGCUUACCAAGUCUUUGGCCGCUCUCCGGCGUGAGAGGGUGACCGGCCACAUUGGGAGUGAGAUACGGCCCAGACACCUACGGGAGGCAGCAGAGUGGAAUAUUGUACAAUGGGCGGAAGAGUGAUGCAGAAACGCGGCGCGCGGGAUGAGGGCGUUCGGGGUGUAAAACGCUUUCGUCUGGGAGGAAGCGUAAGUGACGGUAAUGGGUAAAGAAGCACCGGCUAACUACUU